GACGAACGCUGGCGGCGUGCUUAACACAUGCAAGUCGAACGGAAAGGCCCUGCUUUUGUGGGGUGCUCGAGUGGCGAACGGGUGAGUAACACGUGAGUAACCUGCCCUUGACUUUGGGAUAACUUCAGGAAACUGGGGCUAAUACCGGAUAGGAGCUCCUGCUGCAUGGUUGGGGUUGGAAAGUUUCGGCGGUUGGGGAUGGACUAGCGGCUUAUCAGCUUGUUGGUGGGGUAGUGGCUUACCAAGGCUUUGAAGGGUAGCCGGCCUGAGAGGGUGAACAGCCACAUUAGGACUGAGAUACGGCCCAGACUCCUACGUGAGGCAGCAGUGGGAAAUAUUGCACAAUGGUCGGAAGCCUGAUGCAGCAACGCCGCGUUCGUGAUGACGUCCUUCGGGUUGUAAACCGCUUUCGCCUGUUACGAAGCGUUAGUGACGGUAAUGAAUAAAGAAGCACCGGCUAACUACGUG
RNAcentral lists this ribosomal RNA (468 nucleotides) under uncultured bacterium. RNAcentral describes it as "partial 16S ribosomal RNA". It matches the Rfam family "Bacterial small subunit ribosomal RNA", at positions 28 to 507 of the family's 1533-position model. The record is from RNAcentral.